GGAGGGGUGCCCGAGUGGUUAUAGGGAGCAGACUGUAAAUCUGCCGGCGCCCGCCUACGGAGGUUCGAAUCCUCCCCCCUCCACCA
RNAcentral lists this transfer RNA (86 nucleotides) under Deltaproteobacteria bacterium. RNAcentral describes it as "tRNA-Tyr". It matches the Rfam family "tRNA". Rfam says of the family: Transfer RNA (tRNA) molecules are approximately 80 nucleotides in length. Their secondary structure includes four short double-helical elements and three loops (D, anti-codon, and T loops). Further hydrogen bonds mediate the characteristic L-shaped molecular structure. tRNAs have two regions of fundamental functional importance: the anti-codon, which is responsible for specific mRNA codon recognition, and the 3' end, to which the tRNAs corresponding amino acid is attached (by aminoacyl-tRNA synthetases). tRNAs cope with the degeneracy of the genetic code in two manners: having more than one tRNA (with a specific anti-codon) for a particular amino acid; and 'wobble' base-pairing, i.e. permitting non-standard base-pairing at the 3rd anti-codon position. The record is from RNAcentral. Lineage: Bacteria; Pseudomonadati; Myxococcota; Myxococcia.